This 73-nucleotide transfer RNA is filed under the name Trichonephila clavata. It matches the Rfam family "tRNA". Rfam says of the family: Transfer RNA (tRNA) molecules are approximately 80 nucleotides in length. The record is from Rfam by way of RNAcentral. Lineage: Eukaryota; Metazoa; Arthropoda; Arachnida; Araneae; Nephilidae.
GUCCCUGUAGCGCAGUGGGUGGCGCGUUGGACUUCUAAUUCAAAGAGCGUGGGUUCGGAUCCCACCUGGGAUG